UACCCAGCCCUGAAUUCACCGAAAUUUA
RNAcentral lists this ribosomal RNA (28 nucleotides) under Polyodon spathula (Mississippi paddlefish). The record is from RNAcentral. Lineage: Eukaryota; Metazoa; Chordata; Actinopteri; Acipenseriformes; Polyodontidae.